GACGAACGCUGGCGGCGUGCUUAACACAUGCAAGUCGAGCGGUAAGGCCCUUCGGGUACGACGAGCGGCGAACGGGUGAGUAACACGUGGGUGACCUGCCUCUAGCUCUGGGAUAAGCCUGGGAAACUGGGUCUAAUACCGGAUAUGACUCCACGGCGCAUGUUGUGGGGUGGAAAGCCUUGUGUGGCUAGAGAUGGGCCCGCGGCCUAUCAGCUUGUUGGUGGGGUGAUGGCCUACCAAGGCGACGAC
Molecule: ribosomal RNA, 249 nt
Filed under: uncultured bacterium
Lineage: Bacteria
Description: partial 16S ribosomal RNA
Rfam family: Bacterial small subunit ribosomal RNA
Source: RNAcentral